AAGUCAUGUUGAGGGAAAUUUCUGAGCAAUCCCUUAUAUCUCUCCCAAGCCUCAUAUAAGGAUGCGCAAUAUUCUUGUUUAAAAUUAGCAAUGUUUUUCUUCAAACU
Molecule: small nucleolar RNA, 107 nt
Organism: Lactuca sativa (garden lettuce)
Lineage: Eukaryota; Viridiplantae; Streptophyta; Magnoliopsida; Asterales; Asteraceae
Source: RefSeq, a predicted model, not a curated record